UCCUUUAUAGCUUUUAAAGGAUCUUA
This 26-nucleotide transfer RNA is filed under the name Sphenomorphus melanopogon. RNAcentral describes it as "partial tRNA-Leu". Lineage: Eukaryota; Metazoa; Chordata; Lepidosauria; Squamata; Scincidae. The record is from RNAcentral.